AUUGAACGCUGGCGGCAUGCUUUACACAUGCAAGUCGAACGGUAACAGGCCGCAAUGUGCUGACGAUUGGCUGACGGGUGAGUAAUUCAUCGGAACGUGCCCAGUCGUGGGGGAUAACUACUCGAAAGAGUAGCUAAUACCACAUACGAUCUAUGGAUGAAAUCGGGGGACCGGAGGGCCUCUCUCGGUUGUGGGAUCCGCUGUCAGAUUAGGUGGUUGGUGGGGUAAAGGUUGACUAAGCCAACGAACUGUAGUUGGUGUGAGAGGACGACGAGCGACACUGGGACUGGGACAGGGCCAAGAGUACUACGAGAGGCAGCAGUGGGGAAUUUUGGACAAUGGGUGCAAGCCUGAUCCAGUAAUGCCGAGCGCAGGAAGAAGGCGUUGGGGUUGUAAACUGGUUUUGUACGGAAUGAAACGGUUCCGGUUAAUACCAGGGGCUAAUGACGGUACCGUAAGAAUAAGCACCGGCUAACUACGUG
This 482-nucleotide ribosomal RNA is filed under the name uncultured bacterium. RNAcentral's name for it is "partial 16S ribosomal RNA". It matches the Rfam family "Bacterial small subunit ribosomal RNA", at positions 30 to 507 of the family's 1533-position model. The record is from RNAcentral.